RNAcentral lists this ribosomal RNA (492 nucleotides) under uncultured bacterium. RNAcentral's name for it is "partial 16S ribosomal RNA". It matches the Rfam family "Bacterial small subunit ribosomal RNA", at positions 29 to 507 of the family's 1533-position model. The record is from RNAcentral.
AGUGAACGCUGGCGGUAGGCCUAACACAUGCAAGUCGAACGGCAGCACAGUAAGAGCUUGCUCUUACGGGUGGCGAGUGGCGGACGGGUGAGGAAUACAUCGGAAUCUACUUUUUCGUGGGGGAUAACGUAGGGAAACUUACGCUAAUACCGCAUACUACCUACGGGUGAAAGCAUGGGAUCUUCGGACCUUUCGCGAUUGAAUGAGCCGAUGUCGGAUUAGCUAGUUGGCGGGGUAAAGGCCCACCAAGGCGCCGAUCCGUAGCUGGUCUGAGAGGAUGAUCAGCCAGACUGGAACUGAGACACGGUCCAGACUCCGACGGGAGGCAGCAGUGGGGAAUAUUGGACAAUGGGCGCAAGCCUGAUCCAGCCAUACCGCGUGGGUGAAGAAGGACUUCGGGUUGGAAAGCCCUUUUGUUGGGAAAGAAAAGCAGCAGGAUAAUACCCCGCUGUUCUGACGGUACCCAAAGAAUAAGCACCGGCUAACUUCGUG